Molecule: ribosomal RNA, 325 nt
Filed under: uncultured Mollicutes bacterium
Lineage: Bacteria; Bacillati; Mycoplasmatota; Mollicutes
Description: bacterial SSU rRNA
Rfam family: Bacterial small subunit ribosomal RNA
Source: RNAcentral
CAGCUCGUGCCGUGAGGUGUUGGGUUAAGUCCGCACGAGCGCAACCCUCAUUGUUAGUUACUUACCAUUCAGGUUGAGGACUCUAAUGAGACUGCCAACGACAAGUUGGAGGAAGGUGGGGAUGACGUCAAAUCAUCAUGCCCUUUAUGACCUGGGCUACAAACGUACUACAAUGGCCAAUACAAAGAGAUGCGAAGCGGUGACGUGAAGCGAACCUCAGAAAGUUGGUCUCAGUUCAGAUUGAAGUCUGCAACUCGACUUCAUGAAGGCGGAAUCGCUAGUAAUCGCGGGUCAGCAGACCGCGGUGAAUACGUUCCCGGGUUUU